RNAcentral lists this small nucleolar RNA (141 nucleotides) under Pelodiscus sinensis (Chinese soft-shelled turtle). Its description in RNAcentral is "Small nucleolar RNA SNORA42/SNORA80 family (ENSPSIG00000019794.1)". Lineage: Eukaryota; Metazoa; Chordata; Testudines; Trionychidae. The record is from RNAcentral.
GCAUGGCUUUGGAUUUAAGGAAAGGCCUGUAUUCAUGACCUUUUCUUGACGUACUCCAUGCUAGAUCAAAUGAACUACCCUGAACCAUUGUCAAGCUUGACUGUUUUGUGGGCUUGGUUCACUGAUGAGGGUAGAACAUAU